RNAcentral lists this ribosomal RNA (460 nucleotides) under uncultured bacterium. RNAcentral describes it as "partial 16S ribosomal RNA". It matches the Rfam family "Bacterial small subunit ribosomal RNA", at positions 338 to 795 of the family's 1533-position model. The record is from RNAcentral.
CCUACGGGGGGCAGCAGUGAGGAAUAUUGGUCAAUGGGCGGAAGCCUGAACCAGCCAAGUAGCGUGCAGGAUGACGGCCCUACGGGUUGUAAACUGCUUUUAUACGGGAAUAACGCGCCUUACGUGUAGGGCUUUGCAUGUACCGUAUGAAUAAGGACCGGCUAAUUCCGUGCCAGCAGCCGCGGUAAUACGGAAGGUCCGGGCGUUAUCCGGAUUUAUUGGGUUUAAAGGGAGCGUAGGCCGCAUGUCAAGCGUGCUGUGAAAUGUCCGGGCUCAACCCGGGCCUUGCAGCGCGAACUGGCGUGCUCGAGUCCGCGGAAAGCAGGCGGAAUUCGUCGUGUAGCGGUGAAAUGCUUAGAUAUGACGAAGAACCCCGAUUGCGAAGGCAGCUUGCUGCAGCGGAACUGAUGCUGAUGCUCGAAAGCGCGGGUAUCGAACAGGAUUAGAUACCCCAGUAGUC